UACAGAGGGUGCGAGCGUUAAUCGGAAUUACUGGGCGUAAAGCGCGCGUAGGCGGCUUUGCAAGUCGGGUGUGAAAUCCCCAGGCUUAACCUGGGAACUGCAUUCGAGACUGCAUUGCUAGAGUAUGGGAGAGGGAAGUGGAAUUUCCGGUGUAGCGGUGAAAUGCGUAGAGAUGUGGAGGAACACCAAUGGCGAAGGCAGCCCCCUGGGUCGAUACUGACGCUGAGGAGCGAAAGCGUGGGGAGCGAACAGG
Molecule: ribosomal RNA, 253 nt
Filed under: uncultured bacterium
Lineage: Bacteria
Description: partial 16S ribosomal RNA
Rfam family: Bacterial small subunit ribosomal RNA
Source: RNAcentral